UUUAUUAACAUUCUAUAGGUAUGACAGGCAGAACAAGUAAAUUGUAGUCAUGUAUAUUUACCGAAAUAGUUAAGUACAUCAGAAUCAGCAUAUUGGUAUAAAUUAUAUGCGACAAGUACGCCAAUCAAGCAAUGUGCGUAAUAGCAAUGUAUAUUUUCAAAAACGAUUCAGAAAAUCCCAACUUGAAAGUAUACCUAAGAAGCUCCUUAUGAGACAAUUGUCUUCUCAGAUAAGCUAGGUAGCAAAAUGGGUCACAUGUUAAAUGACUAUCUUAAACAAAAAGUCAUUAAUAUAUGUAUGCCAGGGGCUUCUUAUAACCAAAUUGUAGAUAGAAUUUUGUCAGGACAAUACAGUGCAAACACUACAUUAGUAUUGUUAAUUGGAAACAGCUUAGAUGUGACAGAAAAUGACUUAAUAAGAUGCUAUGACGCCCUUUCUACCAUGGAAAUCAAGAAAACGAUAAUCUGUGCUUUUCCCUAUUCCGCUUCACGGUCUCAUAAGCAGAACACUCAGAUACAUGAGUUAAAUAUGUUGAUAUUUAACAUGACAUUUGGUCAUAGGGAACAGAUGAUGUAUUUCGAUACAAAUAAAUUUAUUCACAAUUUUAUUUUGACCAAGAGUACAUUAUUUGUACCUAAGUUUUAUAAGCGACAGAUAGCUAAAUUGUUAGCUUACAAUAUUUAUGACCCUGUUAUAAGUAGUAUAACAGAAGUAGGACCAACUGAUACGAUAGUUAGUAGUAAUACUAAUGUAAAUUUAAACUGCCAUGCACGACAAGAGAUGAGCAACUGAGAGUUGUACACCAGAAUAUUCAGGGGCUUUCUCGCAAACUUCUAAUGCUAGAGUUAUUUUUAGAACAAUACGACAUAGACAUAAUUUGUAUUACUGAGCAUCACCUUAAAAAUGAUGACAUGAAUUUUAAUGUAAAAAAUUACAAUGUUAUUAGCUCAUUUAAUAGGAAAACGUUAGACAAAGGAGGAUCAUUAAUAUUUGUAAAGAAAAAUUUAAAAUGUAAGGAUAGGAAAGAUAUUGUAAAAUUAUCGGUCGAAAGAAUAGCUGAACUAGCUUGUGUUGAGAUGGACAAGUAUAUAAUUUUAAGCGUGUACAGGCCCCCCUCUUCUGACUAUAAAGUAUUUGAGAAAGUGAUGGAGGAUAGUC
Plutella xylostella (diamondback moth) is the source of this 1158-nucleotide non-coding RNA. The record is from RefSeq and is a predicted model, not a curated record. Lineage: Eukaryota; Metazoa; Arthropoda; Insecta; Lepidoptera; Plutellidae.